UACUGGCCUUUGUGAUACAUAGAUAACCAAGAAAAUUGAACUCUAUGUCACUGGAAUGAACCUGGGAAUAAAAAUAUUAUCUAGAAGAACCUCCUACACUAGAUGUUCCUUAAACUUUUCUACCCAUGCCAAGGCCCUUAUUAACUUUUUUCAUCCCAAGCAUGUAACUGCUUAAAAAAUCAAAGAGAAAUCUCUAGCUUAAGAGAGAUGGAGUAUGUAAAGGUUUCCACUGUGUCACAGGAGACAUACAUGGAAUGGGCACCCUCGAAUCUGGUCUAUGUAAGGAAAGCUGUUUAGCAGGUAUACCAUUGAACUUCUCAAUGACAUAAUCAUUAGGCCCUCCCUGAAACAUCUCUUGUAACCUGGAAAGCCCUAGCUUCUGUGAUGUCACAAUAUUGUUGUGACUGAAACUCCCUAUCAGAUAUCACUUCAGUACCUCUAGUGUUUACUAAUUGAAUUCUAAUUCAGAGUAAACAGCCAUUUUGGAGUGAAAGCAAAGAGGAUGAAGAGAUCAGAGAUGGGGAGAAGGAUGCUGGCCUUCUUUCUUGAUAUAAAAAAAGGAAGAAAUACAUGGUCCUUGGGAAAGCUCACAAAACUCUCAAAUAUCAUCCUGGGUGACGAUGUAGAUUAGACCCAUCAGAUGAAAUGAAGAAUUGAAAAACUCUCCUGGGGAUGAAAAUGAACCAGAAUUUUGCCAAAGAUAUACAUACGGAGUGCGAGCCACUGUUCAGUGCAUUCCUGCUUGGCUUUAUUUCAUUCAGUGCCUGUGCUGGUACUGUGACACAAGAAGAGCCUUUUCUCAUCCAGUAAAUGCUGCCUGGCAAAUACUCUACGACUUUCUUCAUCGUGACAUUUCCAGCCCUUUACAGCACCCACAAAGAACAAAGUCACUCUGACACCAUGGUGUUCUUUUACCUGUGGUCAUCCUUUGCAUCAUCAGCUCCUGCUAUAUCCUCAUCUGGGAUCUCAAGAUGGACUGGGGUUUCUUUGAUAAGAAUGCAGGAGAUAACAAUUUCCUCUGUCAAGAAAUUUUAUACCCCCAAAAAGCAUGUGUGGAACAUUUACACUUAUCUUAGAUAUAUCUUUAGAUAGGUCAUACAGCAGUACUGACACAGGUCUAGUUAACUAAUAUGAUUACAAAACAAUUAUCCCAGAUACCAAUAUAGUCCACAAAACACCGUAUCUGUUUCUUUUUUGUGUAGUAGAGCCAGUGGGACAUUUGUUAGAAUUGAGUGCCAACCCAAUAAAAGUGGGAGAAAAAAUAUAUAUGUCAUAUAUUGUAUAUAAUAUAUUUUAUAUUAUAUUAUAUUAUUUAUGAUUUUACUGGCAUAUUAGAGUUACAGGGCUAAGAGAUGCUGAAUUUUAAAUUAAAAGAACAAGAAUCCUUAAACAGAUGAUUUAGUAAAGGUAAAUGUGAUUAGAUAUUGAAAACAUUGAGCCAUGAACUGGGAAUCUAGCUGUCCUUAUCCAAUCGCAGCUGUACACCAACUAGGCCAUUCAGACAGCGAAGUCUGCAGAAGAUUAUCAAAGUAAGAGUGUUAGACUUCAUUAACUCUUGAUAAUUUUAUUGGCCUAAUGUUCUGCUGUGGAUAGCGUAGAGAUUGAGUUAACAAUUUUUAAGGAUUUAUAUAUUAUGUCAUGCAUAUGACUACCCUGUAGCUGUCUUCAGACACACCAGAAGAGGGCAUCAGAUUCCAUAACAGAUGGUUGUGAGCCACCAUGUGGUUGCUGGGAUUUGAUCUCAGGACAUCUUGAGAGUGUUUUUAACUGCUGAACCAUCUUUCUAAGCCUGAGUUAAUGUAUUGACCUAUAUCAAAAUGUCAUCAUUAUGUCAAAUUUGUGUUUUGAAAAGAAUGUGAUUGUGGGGUCCUGGGCAGAGAAAGUUGCCUGUGAAGACUGGAGCAGCAUACGUAAGCAAAUGCUGUGUGCAUCAGGGCCUCGGGUGAGCCCUUGCAGGGAAGCAGUCAUCCUCACAUGAGAAUUUAGGAAACAUCACUGAGCAUUGAACAUACUUUUUUAUAAUUCUCAACUAAAGGGAAACAAGGGGCAGGGCCAGGUGUCAGCAUGCAGGCACAAGCAGGCACAGGAUGCAGAUUUCAGUCCCUAGUACCGUUUUAAAGAAAGAAAGAAAGCAGGGACAGGUAAAGCUGCUUCAUUAUCACCACACAUGGGUUUUUUAUGACUGUUGUUGUGUUUAGUAAACACUUGGACACAUUUGUUUCCUGUGCUCACUGUGUAAGUUCAGUGGCUCUGUAUCAAUGCUAGUUUGUUUCCUGUCAUACACUUCUCAUUUGUAGAAUUCCAUACAGUGAUAUUGGCAAAUAGAUUCUGUCAGUCAGUUUCUUUAUUAUUAUAUAUUUUGUUUUUUUUUUCUUUUUUUCUUAUUUUUUGGAGCUGAGGACUGAACCCAGGGACUUUCACUUGGUAGGCAAGCACUCUACCGCAUACCUAAAUCCCCAAACCCUUAUUAUUUUAUAUUUUAAUGCUCUAGAAAAUAAAGUUAUACUUUCUUGAAAUAUAAUCGUAAAUUUAUAAGAAAAAAGUGAAGAAGCCAUUGUGCAGUCCAGUUUACCUUCAUUCUGAAAUCCUGUUACAGUGUCAUACAAAUUCUGCCUGCCUCCUCUCAAUGAGGAACCUAGGUUGGGUGUGUGUGAAAUGAAACUAGAAAGGGGACCAUGAAAGGGUUAAAAAGAGCUAUUAAGGCAGGAGGGGAUGGUAGUGAUCACCACAUGUGACAUGAAAAUAGAAGAGGAUACACUGUGUGGCAAGAAGAGGAGUUAGGGCAGGGGGUAGGAACUAAUCUGAAGAAUUCAGAAUGAAGACUGAGGAGAUGCCCUAUGGAAACCUUUUGCUGAUUUUUGCUGGCAUAUUUUUUUUUAUUUAAAAGCUAAUUGUCAGCUCAUUGAUAAUGUUUAAAACUGACUAAUCAAAACAUUUACAAUUAUGGAGGCAAAUGGGAUGGAUAAUUACAAAUGUUUGUCUAUAGGGAGUGCAAAAAGAGAGCAGUACAAGGGGACUGAUUGUAAGUUUUUGUUAACCUUCUAGUUUAAUGAAUACACUUGUUUAAAGUUAAAAUAGGAUUGGAGGAAUGGCUCAGUACCUAAGGAAACCUGUUGAUCUUGGAGAGGAACUUGCUCAGUUCCCAGUACCCCAUGACAGCUCACAGCCAUCUGCAAUUCCAAUGCCUGGGACUCAUUUUCUUCUCCUCACUUCUGAAGGGACUAGGUACACACAAGGUAAACUUACAUACAUUCGGGCAAACACACACAUAAAAGAAGAAUACUUUUAAACACUAAAUUAAAUAAAUACUCCCACUUAGUACCUAGCAGUUCUAGUUACCAAAAUGGCACAGCCUUGAAAUACUCUUUGAAGUGCUAAUUUUGCUUUGUAAUAAGUAAAUUGUGUGUUCUGGGAUUUUAUGGCAGUUGUGUAUUUAAGAAUCUUGGAUAAACUGCAUUAGCAGAAUACUAUGAUCAAUGAUGCUUCUCAAAUCCAAGCCUCAAUUUAUUUUUCAACAUCAAAAAUAAAAGGCUACAGUUAUGUGAGGGAUGAAGAAAUUAGUGUGAACAUUGUUUCUGACACUGACAUCUUGGAGAGAGAAGUGCUUCUAGUUGAGACUUCAUCAUCUCAAUCUUUCAACUAGUAUUACUCUG
This is a non-coding RNA of Rattus norvegicus (Norway rat), 3653 nucleotides long. NCBI's taxonomy places the organism in Eukaryota, Metazoa, Chordata, Mammalia, Rodentia, Muridae. The record is from RefSeq and is a predicted model, not a curated record.